UUAGAUACCCUUGUAGUCCACACAGUAAACGAUGAAUACUCGCUGUUGGCGAUACAAUGUCAGCGGCCAAGCGAAAGCAUUAAGUAUUCCACCUGGGGAGUACGCCGGCAACGGUGAAACUCAAAGGAAUUGACGGGGGCCCGCACAAGCGGAGGAACAUGUGGUUUAAUUCGAUGAUACGCGAGGAACCUUACCCGGGCUUAAAUUGCAACUGACGGACUUGGAAACAGGUCUUUCUUCGGACAGUUGUGAAGGUGCUGCAUGGUUGUCGUCAGCUCGUGCCGUGAGGUGUCGGCUUAAGUGCCAUAGCGAGCGCAACCCUUACCGACAGUUACCAUCAGGUAACGCUGGGGACUCUGUCGGGACUGCCGUCGUAAGAUGUGAGGAAGGUGGGGAUGACGUCAAAUCAGCACGGCCCUUACGUCCGGGGCUACACACGUGUUACAAUGGGGGGUACAGAAGGCAGCUACACGGCGACGUGAUGCUAAUCCCAAAAGCCUCUCUCAGUUCGGAUUGGAGUCUGCAACCCGACUCCAUGAAGCUGGAUUCGCUAGUAAUCGCGCAUCAGCCACGGCGCGGUGAAUACGUUCCCGGGCCUUGUACACACCGCCCGUCAAGCCAUGAAAGCCGGGGGUACCUGAAAUGCGUAACCGCAAGGAGCGCCCUANGGGUAAACUGGGGAUUGGGGGCUAGUCGUACCAGG
Molecule: ribosomal RNA, 703 nt
Filed under: uncultured bacterium
Lineage: Bacteria
Description: bacterial SSU rRNA
Rfam family: Bacterial small subunit ribosomal RNA
Source: RNAcentral